GUAGGUGGCGAGCGUUGUCCGGAAUUAUUGGGCGUAAAGCGCGCGCAGGUGGUUCUUUAAGUCUGAUGUGAAAGCCCCCGGCUCAACCGGGGAGGGUCAUUGGAAACUGGGGAACUUGAGUGCAGGAGAGGAAAGUGGAAUUCCACGUGUAGCGGUGAAAUGCGUAGAUAUGUGGAGGAACACCAGUGGCGAAGGCGACUUUCUGGCCUGUAACUGACACUGAGGCGCGAAAGCGUGGGGAGCAAACAGGGAUUAGAUACCCUGGUAGUCCACGCCGUAAACGAUGAGUGCUAAGUGUUGGGGGGGUUUCCCGCCCCUCAGUGCUGCAGCUAACGCAUUAAGCACUCCGCCUGGGAUACGGUCGCAAGACUG
RNAcentral lists this ribosomal RNA (372 nucleotides) under uncultured organism. RNAcentral's name for it is "partial 16S ribosomal RNA". It matches the Rfam family "Bacterial small subunit ribosomal RNA", at positions 527 to 896 of the family's 1533-position model. The record is from RNAcentral.